Molecule: long non-coding RNA, 1141 nt
Filed under: Oryza sativa aus subgroup
Lineage: Eukaryota; Viridiplantae; Streptophyta; Magnoliopsida; Poales; Poaceae
Description: lncRNA OsN22_02G029740
Source: RNAcentral
CUGAUCCCCCGAUCCCAUCCCCUUUCCCUUGCGAACCCUAGCCUCUUCCUCUCAAGCGCCGCCGCAGUCGUGUUGCCUCCCGAUCAUUCGCCGCCAGAUCACCGUCUUUGCUGUCCUCUUAGGUGCAGCCGCUACGCACACCCACGGUGCGCACUUCCUUUCCCCGGUUCCCCAGCCCAGUGCUGUCCCCCUCCCUUCACCGUGCAAAACCCUAAGCGCCGCCACCACAAGCAGGUACCGUUGCCGCCAGGAGAUCGCCCUCAUGUCACCUCGCUUCGCCAGAUCAUCGACGCACCGCCUCGCCGUACCGGUCCGGCGUCGACUCCGCACACGCUUCAGGUCUACCACGAUAACUCUUUCUAGGUAGUCCCAGCAUAUUGAAGGUAGUACCAUUAUGAACUUUCUCAUGCCAUGGCUAACUAUCGGCCUAUCAUUGUAGCAUUAUAUAUAUCUAUAUGUGUUGGUGUCCACUUACAAUUUCAUGCCUCUUUGAUAAUCUUGGUAAUUUUCUGGUCAUAUCUCCACCUGUGCAAAAUUUCCAAAUCCUGAUGGUCAAUUGGUUACCAUGCACUAUAUAUGAAUCGAUAUGGAAUGAUGCAUGCUUUAUUGUUGCAGUUAAUUUCAACAGAGUAAAACGGAAGGAGCGAUGGAUUCUCUACGCCUUGCAAGUGCAAUAUGAAAUGCUGGGGAUACGACAUUUCAGAUUCAUGCUUCAAGUGAUCACCAUAUGCUGAUAAGCUGAGAGUAUGCUCAAAUGCUCAGCCAGACCUUCUCUUAGAGGUUUCACUUGAUGAGGAAAUGAGUUUAUAGAUGUGUAGAGAAUCUGAAAAAGAUAUUUGGGAAGAGAUGGUAGGUGCAUUUCAGACAAUGGCAAGGAGCCAAGGAGGUUCAGAGGUUGCUUAACUUGAUGAACCUAUUGGAAAGGGUGACAAAGAUUUCGACAGGUUUUUACUUGUUUUGAGCUUAAUCCAUAUGGGAACUGUUACAGUAAACUGAAAUUCACAUUUGUAAUUCACAUGUAAACCAUUGACAUGACAGUGAAACCACUGGCCAUUUUGCUGGUAUAGUGAUAUUAGGGCCAUACAUGAAUUAUAGUUCAGUCUUUUUUUAUAAACUUUGGUGAUGAAGUUCAGAUCUCUUC